AACGAACGCUGGCGGCAUGCCUAACACAUGCAAGUCGAACGAGAUCUUCGGGUCUAGUGGCGCACGGGUGCGUAACGCGUGGGAAUCUGCCCUUUGGUUCGGAAUAACAGUUGGAAACGACUGCUAAUACCGGAUGAUGACGAAAGUCCAAAGAUUUAUCGCCAGAGGAUGAGCCCGCGUAGGAUUAGCUAGUUGGUGUGGGAAAGGCGCACCAAGGCGACGAUCCUUAGCUGGUCUGAGAGGAUGAUCAGCCACACUGGGACUGAGACACGGCCCAGCCUGCUACGGGAGGCUGCAGUGGGGAAUAUUGGACAAUGGGCGAAAGCCUGAUCCACCAAUGCCGCGUGAGUGAUGAAGGCCUUAGGGUUGUAAAGCUCUUUUACCCGGGAUGAUAAUGACAGUACCGGGAGAAUAAGCUCCGGCUAACUCCGUGCCAGCAGCCGCGGUAA
Molecule: ribosomal RNA, 449 nt
Filed under: uncultured bacterium
Lineage: Bacteria
Description: partial 16S ribosomal RNA
Rfam family: Bacterial small subunit ribosomal RNA
Source: RNAcentral